RNAcentral lists this ribosomal RNA (714 nucleotides) under uncultured soil bacterium. RNAcentral's name for it is "bacterial SSU rRNA". It matches the Rfam family "Bacterial small subunit ribosomal RNA", at positions 54 to 769 of the family's 1533-position model. The record is from RNAcentral.
CAUGCAAGUCGAACGGUAGAGGGGCAACCCUUGAGAGUGGCGAACGGGUGAGUAAUAUAUCGGAACGUGCCCAGUCGUGGGGGAUAACGUAGAGAAAUUUACGCUAAUACCGCAUACGAUCUAAGGAUGAAAGCGGGGGACCGUAAGGCCUCGCGCGAUUGGAGCGGCUGAUAUCAGAUUAGGUUGUUGGUGAGGUAAAAGCUCACCAAGCCGACGAUCUGUAGCUGGUUUGAGAGAACGACCAGCCACACUGGGACUGAGACACGGCCCAGACUCCUACGGGAGGCAGCAGUGGGGAAUUUUGGACAAUGGGCGAAAGCCUGAUCCAGCAAUGCCGCGUGCAGGAAGAAGGCCUUCGGGUUGUAAACUGCUUUUGUACGGAACGAAACGGUCCGCUUUAAUACAGUGGGCUAAUGACGGUACCGUAAGAAUAAGCACCGGCUAACUACGUGCCAGCAGCCGCGGUAAUACGUUGGGUGCGAGCGUUAAUCGGAAUUACUGGGCGUAAAGCGUGCGCAGGCGGUUAUGUAAGACAGUUGUGAAAUCCCCGGGCUCAACCUGGGAAUUGCAUCUGUGACUGCAUAGCUAGAGUACGGUAGAGGGGGAUGGAAUUCCGCGUGUAGCAGUGAAAUGCGUAGAUAUGCGGAGGAACACCGAUGGCGAAGGCAAUCCCCUGGACCUGUACUGACGCUCAUGCACGAAAGCGUGGGGAGC